AUGUACAUGAGGCACCAGGCGACAGUACUGCUGCUGCCUGCUGCACCGUUGAUCGCUCCCACCAACUCUGAUGCAAGUGGCCGACCAUCUCCGCCGGCUGCAGAUGUGCAGGCUAGAACAACAGGCAUCUGUACAUCGGGGAGUGACGAGUCAGUAUCUGCCAGGACAGCUGAAAUAUUGCCAACUCUACUGGCAAUGAAGGAUGCUGCUGUGAGCCAUGCCACCCCAUCAGCAAGCCUUGAAGUGGACGCUCCCAGGACGAACCUAAGCAAGGAAGAUUCCCGCUCAUCUGACACUGAUUCCAAGCGCGUGCGUGGUCGCACUCCUGUGUCCACGACAGAGGCGGCUGAGGCGGCAGUUCACAAGGAUAUGCCAUCUAUAGGUGAGAGUCCUGGCACAACAGCUCCAGCUCCUGUCGGUGCAGAUACUGCUAAGGCGACUGUUUCGCAUGCUGGUCUUCCACCUAGGCGCCGUAGCCCCCGCAAGCAACCAACAGACAUACCCAACGCAUCGGCUGCAGCUAGGAGCAGGAGAGACGAGCCUGGUUAUGUUCCUGCGUCCACACUGUUCCCGCCACCUGCCAAAAGCAAUGUGAUGGAGAAACCGGAAGACCGGAGCACAACUGAUGCAGGUGUCAAGCCGGGCACGAGUGACGUAGGUGAACGCCCGGAGCAGACUGCGCCUUUACCCGCAUUGGAAAUCCCCAGCAUAAAUCUGCGCACUUCUAGGCUCCCAGUCAAUGUCGGUGUCCCCUACAGCCCAAACAAGAAGAUUGUCAAGAAAGUUGUGGCUGAUACCGCUGACAACACGCCCCGUCCUGCAAAUAAGUCCGAUCAUUCUGUAGCGGCCGAUUCAGAUAUGUUUGUCGAUCUUUCACCCUUGGAUUCUGCCCCAUAA
RNAcentral lists this ribosomal RNA (897 nucleotides) under Triticum aestivum (bread wheat). RNAcentral describes it as "partial small subunit ribosomal RNA". Lineage: Eukaryota; Viridiplantae; Streptophyta; Magnoliopsida; Poales; Poaceae. The record is from RNAcentral.